CCCUUAGAUGUUCUGGGCCGCACGCGCGCUACACUGACGAAUGCAACGAGCUUAUAACCUUGGCCGAAAGGUCUGGGUAAUCUCCAAAUUUCGUCGUGAUGGGGAUAGAUUAUUGCAAUUAUUAAUCUUCAACGAGGAAUGCCUAGUAAGCGCAAGUCAUCAGCUUGCGUUGAUUACGUCCCUGCCCUUUGUACACACCGCCCGUCGCUCCUACAGAUUGAGCAGUCCGGUGAAUACUUCGGACCGUUUGCAUAGAUGGUUCGCCAUCUUUGCGAAUGGAAAGUCGAGUGAACCUUCCUGCUUAGAUGAAGGAGAAGUCGUAACA
RNAcentral lists this ribosomal RNA (325 nucleotides) under uncultured eukaryote. Its description in RNAcentral is "partial 18S ribosomal RNA". It matches the Rfam family "Eukaryotic small subunit ribosomal RNA", at positions 1470 to 1796 of the family's 1831-position model. The record is from RNAcentral.